UCAGUAGACAGAGAAAUUAGAAAGCGAUCUGAACAGAUCAGCAUAUUACGUCUAUUUUUGCUUCUGCUCUUUUAUGUCAAGUGUUAAACAGUUGAGGAAGCAUGUCACUUAUGAGCACCUUCAGCCUUAGUUCACAUGGAAAAUUGAAGGGACUGUGCAUUCUUUUUAUGCUCAUUGGACAAUUCUGCUGCUUUGCAAGUUACAGCCAGGCAAAAGAACUCAUUUACAAAAUAAAUGAAGGAUUACCCAAGGGAAUACUAAUAGGAGCCAUUGGAGCGGAUUUAAAGUUGGAUUUUAAUGCUGAUCCCCCUCUUUCAUUCAAUCUGGCCUCAAAGAAGAUCAGUGGUCAGUAUGUGAACCUAAAUAACACUACAGGAGAACUGUACACAUCUGCCAAAGAAAUUGACAGGGAGAGUCUCUGCAUGGAAAAUCCUGGCAAUCAGGAAUGUACUUUGUCUCUUGAUGUUCUUAUCUUGCCACAGCAAUAUUUCAGACUGAUAAAAAUUAAAAUUGUGAUAAAAGAUAUUAAUGAUAAUGCUCCAAGGUUUCCCACCUCUGAGAUACAAGUAUUUGUCCCAGAAAAUGCCCAGAUCAACUCAAGGUUUGCAAUAGAGCACUCUGCUGUUGACCCUGAUGUUGGCAUUCAUGGAGUACAGACCUACUGGCUUGUUAAUGACUAUGGAGUAUUUACUUUGGAUGUUGAAGAAACAGAAAAUGGUGAACUAACACCCUUUUUAAUUGUUAUAGGAACACUUGACAGAGAAACUAAGAAUGAAUAUGUUACCAGCAUCAUAGCAGAGGAUGGAGGGAGUCCUCAGCUUUUAGGCACAGCAACACUGAAAAUUAUCAUAACUGAUGUCAAUGACAACUGUCCAGUUUUCACUGAAUCUCAGAUUAAUGUCACAGUGUAUGGAAAUUCAACCACCGGAACCCAUGUGACACGAGUUCAUGCAUUUGAUUCAGAUUUAGGAAGCAAUGCUGACAUAACAUAUGCCUACAGUGAAAGAGUGUUUCAGACUACCAAAUCUUUAUUUCAUUUAGAUCCAGUUUCAGGGAUCAUUAAGCUGGUAGGUAAAAUUGAUGGCAACACUGCACAGUUUCACAAAUUAAGCAUACUGGCAAAAGGCCCAGGAUGUAUCCCAGCUGUGGCCCAAGUGACAGUGAACAUCAUCAAAGUGGUAUUUAACCCACCUGUGAUAAUCCCACGAUAUAUUGCUACAGAAUUAGAUGGCACAAUCUAUCUAAAGGAGUCAGAGGCGGCUUACUCACCAAUUGCAUUUUUUACUAUAAAAGACCCUGAUCAGAAGCAAAAAGUAGAAUGCUUUCUGGAGGGGGAUGGCCCAUUCCGAUUAUCUCCGUAUAAGACAUUUGUUAAUGAGUAUCUGCUAGAGACAACAGACUCUUUGGAUUAUGAGACAAGAACUGACUAUGAACUGACUGUGUUUGCCAAAAAUUCCCAGGGUAUUCUCAUAAAAAGUUUCCUAAAAGUUCAGGUAAUAGACGAAAAUGACAAUGCUCCCGUUUUUAAGCAACCAUUGGUUGAUCUAUUCAUUGAAGAAAACAAUGCCCCUAACACUUUUCUAACAAAACUACAUGCAACAGAUAUUGAUAGUGGUGAAAGAGGAGAAAUUUUGUAUAUUCUUGGUCCUGAUGCUCCUUCGGUAUUUGUUUUGGACAAAAUUACUGGAGUUCUCAUGGUCUCCACAUCUCUGGACCGAGAAGAAAAGGAAAAAUAUCGAUUUACAGUUAGAGCUUUAGACUGUGGGUCACCACACAUGGAAUCUAUAGCUUCUGUGGUCAUCACUGUGUUGGACAGGAAUGAUAACAGUCCACGGUUUAUCAACAAGGACUUCAGUUUUUUUGUACCUGAAAAUUUUCCCGGUUUUGGAGAAAUUGGAAUCAUUUCUGUAACUGAUGCUGAUUCAGGAAAGAAUGGAUGGGUUGCAUUAUCUAUUGUGAAUGGUAGUGAUAUUUUUGUUAUCGAUACUGGAAGAGGAGCAUUGAGAGCAAAAGUGCCUCUUGACCGAGAACAACAAAGUUCUUACUUUAUCUGGAUUGAAGCUGUGGAUGGGGGGGAUCCUGCCCUUUCCUCUGUCACUAUGGUCACUGUUUUACUUUUGGAUGUUAAUGACAAUCCACCCCUGGUAUUGUUCCCUCAGUCAAACCUGUCAUAUAUGUUAGUGUUGCCUACAACGCUUCCAGGUACCUCUAUAACAGAGGUUUACGCUGUGGAUAAAGAUACUGGGAUGAAUGCCGUGAUUGCCUAUAGUAUCAUUGGAAGAAGAGGACCUCGUCCCGAAUCUUUUGAAAUUAACCCUAACACGGGCAACAUUACCUUGCAAGAAGCACUAAUGAAAAAUGACUACGGCCUGUACAGGCUGCUGGUGAAAGUCAGUGAUCAUGGACAACCAGUGCCCCUCCAUUCCACAGUGAUGGUUAAUCUGUUCGUAAAUGAAACUGUGAGCAAUGAAAGCUAUAUAGAAAGCUUACUGAGAAAAGAACCUGAAAUCAAAAUUGAGGAAAGACCACCAGAAAAAUUGCUUGUGCCUACAAAGAAAAGAAUUGAACCCUUUCCUUGUCUACCAGGAUUAAUUGUCCUUUCGGCCUUGUGCCUGGCGUUACUGUUGGUAGUAAUAUUAAUGGCAGCAUAUAUCUGUCUAAAGAAACAAAGAAAACACCGAAGUAAAGAAAAACGAUUAGACAUUGAGAUUCCGCUCAAUACUAACAAUGAUUUUCGAGCAAAUGAGAAAAAACUCAUGGAAAUUUCCAAUAUAUGACACUUCAGGAGAAUAACUUUUUAAAGUCAUGUUUACAAAUUCCAAAGUCACUGUAUGUUGGCAUUAUCAAAAAGACAUCAUAUUUAUAAAUAAAUAAAUUAUAUUGAAAUGUUGUUGACAUAUGUAAUUUUGUACUGAAGACAUUUUCCAUAUGGUGCAUGAACAAAAACGUGGAGCUGGGCACAGACUUCAAGAGAUCAUGGCUGCGCUAAACCGUCUUGUGACAACAUUAACUUUGAAAAACGCGGCACACAGGCAUAUCCAUUCGCAUCUGGAACUGAAUCAAUUCCAGGAUCAGCUGACUAAGCUGUCAUUUGUGUCUGGUAUAAUCUACAUUUUGCAACUCUCCACUCCCCUGAGCCUUUCUGUCCCUAGUGGUUGAUCACAAGAAAGUGUAUUUUUUUAUUAUUAUCUGAAAUUCCUUGGGAUUUGCUCCUCACAAGAACUGAAUACAUCUCAAGGACAAUCUCAUAUGAAGAACUGAAAAGUUAAAACUCUCUAUCACUCACCAUAAACUUGUGCUUUAACCAUUUCCUUGGCUGUUUGGAAUAUUUUGUUGCUCUAAAGGAUAAUAAUAAUUACUUUCCUCCACAUACUGCAUAACGAUGCAGUGUUGAUUCAACAAUGUAGAAAUGUUCUGGAGAAUACUCAGAGUAUAAAACAAUGACAAUAUCAGGAAGACAAGUGGAACCCUGCAACUGGAUGUUCAAGAGAGAUACUACUGCAGGAUGUCCCUGAAGCAGAUUGUUUAAAUCCUGGAAACUCCUCAAGCUAAGGGAAUAUCAGGUAAAGAGACAAGUUUGGGGCCAUUUGUUCAUCUUUUCCCAGGCAAAUAACCCUUCUGAUCACAGCAACAUGCCAAUUGGAUUUCAAGGCAGACGGAAAACCUAAUUUAUUAUGUUUAAAUCAAAAAGGUGAAGGAUAAAAUAAGAUCCCAUGACUGAAUGGCAGUCAGUUUCAUUUUGAAGGAAAAGAAAUAGAAGGACACAGACUCCAAAGUGCAACAGUGACUUGGGUACAACCAAAAGCGAAUAUUAUUGUGGAGUGCAUUUGCUUUGUUGGUUGGUAAUGUUAAAGAAGAUCAGGCAAAAAGGUUAAACCAGCCUUCUUAAUGAUAAAUCGGUCAGAUUACCUGAACAAAUUGCUACAGUUUUGUUCACCUUCACAAAGUAUCCGAGAUGGAAGCACAAGGAAAACAGCUCUGAAUGCCUCAAGGUAUGUGCUGCCAUUUGUUCAGGUGGACUGAAUAUCAGCCAAGGAAGCUCCUCAUAAGAAGGUCCAUGGUCAGGAAGGUCGCAGGCCCUGACCACUAGAGAACAGAUGUGGCCUGGAGGUUUGAAGUUUUGACUUUAUUUUGUGAAAGGACUAUGUGUUAUAAUGUUUGCCUUUUAGAAAAGAAGGUGAUCCGACUUGUCAGUGAAAAGAAAGAAGAACAAAAAAAUGAA
Polypterus senegalus (gray bichir) is the source of this 4222-nucleotide RNA transcript. It is a transcript of the gene named protocadherin-20, with no coding region annotated. Lineage: Eukaryota; Metazoa; Chordata; Cladistia; Polypteriformes; Polypteridae. The record is from RefSeq and is a predicted model, not a curated record. The transcript has 6 exons.